GAUGAACGCUGGCGGCGUGCCUAAUACAUGCAAGUCGAACGCAUAGCGAAAGGUGCUUGCACCUUUCAAGUGAGUGGCGAACGGGUGAGUAACACGUGGACAACCUGCCUCAAGGCUGGGGAUAACAUUUGGAAACAGAUGCUAAUACCGAAUAAAACUUAGUGUCGCAUGACACAAAGUUAAAAGGCGCUUCGGCGUCACCUAGAGAUGGAUCCGCGGUGCAUUAGUUAGUUGGUGGGGUAAAGGCCCACCAAGACAAUGAUGCAUAGCCGAGUUGAGAGACUGAUCGGCCACAUUGGGACUGAGACACGGCCCAAACUCCUACGGGAGGCUGCAGUAGGGAAUCUUCCACAAUGGGCGAAAGCCUGAUGGAGCAACGCCGCGUGUGUGAUGAAGGCUUUCGGGUCGUAAAGCACUGUUGUAUGGGAAGAACAGCUAGAAUAGGAAAUGAUUUUAGUUUGACGGUACCAUACCAGAAAGGGACGGCUAAAUACGUG
Molecule: ribosomal RNA, 497 nt
Filed under: uncultured bacterium
Lineage: Bacteria
Description: partial 16S ribosomal RNA
Rfam family: Bacterial small subunit ribosomal RNA
Source: RNAcentral